AGGAGUAUAGCUUAGGGGUGGAGCACUUGCUUAGCAUGUGUGACUCCUGGGUUCAAUCCCCAGUACUACAG
This 71-nucleotide transfer RNA is filed under the name Neotoma lepida (desert woodrat). It matches the Rfam family "tRNA". Rfam says of the family: Transfer RNA (tRNA) molecules are approximately 80 nucleotides in length. The record is from Rfam by way of RNAcentral. Lineage: Eukaryota; Metazoa; Chordata; Mammalia; Rodentia; Cricetidae.